AGAUUGAACGCUGGCGGCAUGCCUUACACAUGCAAGUCGAACGGCAGCACGGGAGCAAUCCUGGUGGCGAGUGGCGAACGGGUGAGUAAUACAUCGGAACGUGCCCAAUCGUGGGGGAUAACGCAGCGAAAGCUGUGCUAAUACCGCAUAAGAUCUACGGACGAAAGCAGGGGAUCGCAAGACCUUGCGCGAAUGGAGCGGCCGAUGGCAGAUUAGGUAGUUGGUGAGGUAAAGGCUCACCAAGCCUUCGAUCUGUAGCUGGUCUGAGAGGACGACCAGCCACACUGGGACUGAGACACGGCCCAGACUCCUACGGAGCAGCAGUGGGGAAUUUGGACAAUGGCGAAAGCCUGAUCCAGCCAUGCCGCGUGCAGGAUGAAGGCCUUACGGGUUCGUAAACGU
RNAcentral lists this ribosomal RNA (402 nucleotides) under uncultured soil bacterium. RNAcentral's name for it is "bacterial SSU rRNA". It matches the Rfam family "Bacterial small subunit ribosomal RNA", at positions 26 to 432 of the family's 1533-position model. The record is from RNAcentral.